UUAACCAUAAAAAUUGUGCUUCAUUAACAGUUGCAACCAGCUGAAACCAAAAAAACUAUGUCCGCUAAACGGGUUAAAGACCAACUGGAAUUGACAUUUUUUACACGCAUACAUGCAUACAUUCAUAUACACAUGUACAGUGGAGUAGCACUAGGUUGAACAAUGCAUUGCUUGUACUUUGAUGUGUUUGAAUCUUUUAUGGUACUGAAGAUUUGCUUAGGGAUGAAAAAUAUUAAAAAUCGUUCGUGCAUAUAUGCACAUUGACCCACCUGUACAAAAAUUGUGGCGCGGCAUGGACAAAAAUUCUACAAUUUCGGACCGAAAAAUA
Long non-coding RNA from Rhagoletis zephyria (snowberry fruit fly), 328 nucleotides. RefSeq lists it as uncharacterized. The record is from RefSeq and is a predicted model, not a curated record. NCBI's taxonomy places the organism in Eukaryota, Metazoa, Arthropoda, Insecta, Diptera, Tephritidae.